GUCGAGGAUCUUUUGCAAUGGGCGAAAGCCUGACAAAGCGACGCUGCGUGGAGGAUGAAGGCCUUCGGGUUGUAAACUCCUGUCAUUCGGGAACAAUUAUUUGUGGACUAACACUCCACAGACUUGAUGGUACCGGAAGAGGAAGCCACGGCCAACUCUGUGCCAGCAGCCGCGGUAAUACAGAGGUGGCGAGCGUUGUUCGGAUUUACUGGGCUUAAAGGGUGCGUAGGUGGUUUCGUGUGUCGGACGUGAAAUCCCACCGCUUAACGGUGGAACUGCGUUCGAAACUGCGGAACUUGAGUGCAGGAGGGGAGAGCGGAAUUCUUGGUGUAGCGGUGAAAUGCGUUGAUAUCAAGAAGAACACCGGUGGCGAAGGCGGCUCUCUGGAAUGUAACUGACACUGAGGCACGAAAGCUAGGGGAGCAAACAGGAUUAGAUACCCUAGUAGUCC
This 451-nucleotide ribosomal RNA is filed under the name uncultured bacterium. RNAcentral's name for it is "bacterial SSU rRNA". It matches the Rfam family "Bacterial small subunit ribosomal RNA", at positions 354 to 796 of the family's 1533-position model. The record is from RNAcentral.